CCCACCUUGUAUCAGAAAAAAAAAAAGCCUCUUUUCUCUUGUCCUGUCAUCACGGAAGAAGGAGGACACCUGGUCAUUACAGAAGAAGCCCAAUGAAUCGCUCAUUUAAUUUUUUGCUGGUUUAAUUGAGCCGUACCUCGCAUUUGCUGGAAACAGACUCCAGGGACUUCUCCAAGUUCUUUGAUUGCACUGGAAUCUUGAUGAAUCAACCUCUUCUUUGAAAUACGAGGACUAUUGCCCAAGAUAAGAAAACUGAAGCCCAGAGAGAUGAGAAGAUUUACCAAGCUACGCCCGAGACCUAGGAUCCAAGGCUCUUUGCCAUACACACUCCUGCCUUGGAUGAAUGACAUUCUGGAAAUGCAACGGAUAACUAUUACUGUGGCAAGUAGUAUAGAGAAGGGACAUUAGAAACUGUGACAAGGGCAAGCCAGUUUGACUCGGCACGUUGCUUGAACCUGAGGCUUCCUGGAUGCUAAAUUGCAGGAGGUUACAUGCAUGGACUGAGCCCUGUUUUGGGGGAUUAAUCUCCUCGCCCACGAGAAAGUGAAGAACUCCGCCGUGCACAUUUAAGUACUACUAUUCAGGGAACUUGGAGAGGUCAUUUACCAAAUAGCUCCUUUACCCUUCCCACCAAGAAUUCACUGCUUUAAUUGAGGGGAGUGGUUUUUUUGGAGAAUUGGCCGGCCCGACAUAAAGUGGCAUUGUAAACUUCAA
Molecule: long non-coding RNA, 714 nt
Organism: Panthera uncia (snow leopard)
Lineage: Eukaryota; Metazoa; Chordata; Mammalia; Carnivora; Felidae
Exons: 2
Source: RefSeq, a predicted model, not a curated record